AUUGCACACGUCCGUAGUUUCCA
This 23-nucleotide non-coding RNA is filed under the name Arabidopsis thaliana (thale cress). The record is from RNAcentral. Lineage: Eukaryota; Viridiplantae; Streptophyta; Magnoliopsida; Brassicales; Brassicaceae.